RNAcentral lists this ribosomal RNA (156 nucleotides) under Cutaneotrichosporon middelhovenii. RNAcentral describes it as "5.8S ribosomal RNA". It matches the Rfam family "5.8S ribosomal RNA". Rfam says of the family: 5.8S ribosomal RNA (5.8S rRNA) is a component of the large subunit of the eukaryotic ribosome. It is transcribed by RNA polymerase I as part of the 45S precursor that also contains 18S and 28S rRNA. The record is from RNAcentral. RNAcentral also lists the same sequence under 1 other name. Lineage: Eukaryota; Fungi; Basidiomycota; Tremellomycetes; Trichosporonales; Trichosporonaceae.
UAACUUUCAACAACGGAUCUCUUGGCUCUCGCAUCGAUGAAGAACGCAGCGAAAUGCGAUAAGUAAUGUGAAUUGCAGAAUUCAGUGAAUCAUCGAAUCUUUGAACGCACCUUGCGCUCUCUGGUAUUCCGGAGAGCAUGCCUGUUUGAGUAUCAU